Molecule: ribosomal RNA, 520 nt
Filed under: uncultured archaeon
Lineage: Archaea
Description: bacterial SSU rRNA
Rfam family: Archaeal small subunit ribosomal RNA
Source: RNAcentral
ACGGGGUGCAGCAGGCGCGAAAACUUCACAAUGUGGGAAACCGCGAUGAGGGGAUUCCAAGUGCUUGCGUUUUGCGUAAGCUGUUCUCCUGCCUAAAAAGCAGGGGGAGUAAGGGCUGGGUAAGACGGGUGCCAGCCGCCGCGGUAAUACCCGCAGCCCAAGUGGUGGUCGAUAUUAUUGAGCUUAAAGCGUCCGUAGCCUGUCUGGUAAAUUCUUGGGUAAAUCGUGCAGCUUAACUGUCCGAAUUCCGGGGAGACUGCCAGACUUGGGACCGGGAGAGGUUGGAGGUACUCCUGGGGUAGGGGUAAAAUCCCGUAAUCCUGGGAGGACCAUCAGUGGCGAAGGCGUCCAACUGGAACGGAUCCGACGGUCAGGGACGAAGCCCUGGGUCGCGAACUGGAUUAGAUACCCAGGUAGUCCAGGGUGUAAACGCUGCAGACUUGGUGUCGGAGGUCCUACGAGGGCGUCCGGUGCCGGAGAGAAAUUGUUAAGUCUGCCGCUUGGGAGUACGUCCGCAAGG